GUCAGUAUGGCCGAGUGGUCUAAGGCGCCAGACUCAAGAUCUGGUACACGUAUGUGUGCGUGGGUUCGAAUCCCACUGCUGACA
This is a non-coding RNA of Tetranychus urticae (two-spotted spider mite), 84 nucleotides long. Lineage: Eukaryota; Metazoa; Arthropoda; Arachnida; Trombidiformes; Tetranychidae. The record is from the annotation of a RefSeq genome assembly.